UAAGAACUAAAUUAGUAUUGUUCAUUUGGCUUGACUUAAUACGUACAUACACGUAGCCCAAUAUGGCGGCCAUGCUGACGCAUUGCUCUUUGUCUCAUUGUUUGCCACAUGAUUAAAAAAAAUGUAUGUGGACAUGAACAGUGCAUAACGAGAAAGUUGCCCUUCAAUCGGAAGGCUGGUGGUUCGAUUCCAGGCCCCUGCAGUCUACAAGUGGAAGUAUCUUCUGGCAUGACAGUGAACCCCAAAUUUCUCCCGGUGGCUCUUCCAUCGGUCUUAAGCCUUUUAUACCUUUAGUGGUCACAUCCGCUCUGCCCACUUCAACCACAGUUCCAGACAUCAGGAUGAAUCAGCUACAAUUAACAAGAAAUUCAGAACCAAAAACCAUGGCAUCCACCUCAGUUAUACGGCACAGGCCAUCAACCAACAGGACCGCAGGCAGCCUCACCCUUACCCUAACCCUUAACAGGUCUGCUUGCUUGGGUUACCUAAUCUGCCCCAGAUCUGCUGUAUGAACUCCAGAGCCUGCUCACACUUCUGGGGUUCAUCAGAGAUGUCAGCUGGCAGAGGGACAUGUGGAGAUUCUUGAGGCUGAGCUGGCGAGGGAGCUCUUGAGUUCUUAACAACUGUCCCGGAACUGAUGAGGACUCUGGCUCCACCGCUGCAGGAGGUCACAGCUUUCUUGGGGAACAGAUACUGCUGAUCCUGCAGAGAGGAACCUGAUGUUCAAAAUACAUGUUCAGAACAGUAGGACAUGCAAGAAGUAAAAGCAUGCAGAAUAACAAACUGGCCAAAGGUUCUCCCUGCUGUCCACAGUUUUACUCUCCUCACCCAAAUCUCAACCCAACUGUGACAUCCAUAGCGUGAUGGUUCAGUACGAAAACAUAUGUUGAGGUCAGGAUGCAGUAAACAAGAACACGCCUAGAGCUGGUAGGUUCUUGUGUUUUUUUCCUGGACAAAAAGCCUUUCAGGAGGUGCCAGUACAGCUGGAAUGAUUAGUAAAGUACUCUGCUAUCGUCCAAGAAGAGGAAAUUCUUCUUAAGCAAAGUGUCUUAUAAAAACAUAUAUAGAAUAAACAUAACACACAAAAAACACACAAGAUCAUUUUUACUUCUGUGUCUUUAACCUAGUUCCAUCCCUUCAAUUGUGAGGAUUGGCUGCAUUGUUUUAUGUUUUAUUUGAUGGUAAACUGCAUAUGCUUACAAAACAUGUCAUUUGAAAACAUCACCGUUGUUUUUUGUUUUUUUUACAAAAUAGCUUAACGGUUUUCCCAUCCUCGAGAGAAAAACAUGCUUUUUUAGUAACAAAAACAUUUGUAUUCUUGCAAGUUGCUGAGGUUCAAGAUUACAAGUGCAAUCUUACCCAGUCCCCAGAUAUUUAGAAGAUCAAGUGUGUUUGUUAGCAGAGCUUACUACACUACUUUUGGUGUUAGGAAGUGCUCAUGACAAGAUUUUAUGCAGGUGUCCCAUCCUGAGUUGAUUUUAGGUUUUCAGCCCUGGUCCAUCACUGACAUAAAUCCAUUAUUCCCCCAACUGUCUUGCGUGAGUGUCAGUGGGUACAUGGCAGAAACUUUCUGGCAGCAGUCAAACACACUGAGCAGAUGUCCAAUAUUAUGCAUGGAUAAUUUAAGUCGCUCUUGUCAGGUGCUUAUGACUAUUACUAUUUUAUUUCUCUUAAGCGGGAAAAAGGCAGAGCGGCUUUCACAGUCUUGUUAGCAGAUGACGUCUGAGGUUUUCUCAUAGCUGCUCCCCUGUGGCCCCCCACGUUUUACUGUGAGAUGGAGUGUGUGAUGGCCCUAUGGGAAAGCCAUUAGCCACUGGUAGUCUCUCUCGUUCUUUCUCUCUGCCCCCACCUCUUCCCUCUGUUUCUGCAGAGAUGUGGUAAAGACACACACACACAUCACAUUCACAUGCACAAACCACUCGAGACCGUUAGCGGCUGUCAGGGUUGUUUUGUUUUGACCAGCUCCCAUAAGUCCAGUGGAGUCUGUAAAUCUCUACAAUCUUGGCAGGAAAGCCAUUUGUGGGCGGUCGUACUGAGCUAGUUGCUUAAUGCUCACAUUGAGGGACAGUCACCGAGAGGGCAACUGGAGGGCACAAAGGAUAUAAUGAGUAAACCAACAAAUGACCAAAUCAAUGCCUAAAUUCAGACAUACAUAGAUGUUUGGAUUUUCCAGUUCAUAUUUGUGCAAACUGCUUGAAAAUGUAUGACCUGUCAGAUGUGAUAUUGAACAUAAUGAUUUAACCAGACUUAUAGGUACAGUGUUGUCAUGGAUGAACCAGUCUUCCUCUACUUGAGCUCGAGUUUCUCCCAAUAUAGCCUAAUUGGCACACACACACACACAAACUCACACACACACACACAUCUUCCGUAAUUAACUGUGCAUACCGCUGCUGGACUAUUAAUGUGAUGCAUGCCCUCUUAUCUUUUGUCCAUUCGCUCAUUUUUCAGACACCUAUGUAUACCAUUUGUGUGUGUGUGUGUGUUAGCACAGUAGCACAUAAUCAUCAUCAUGUUAUCUUUCUUUUUCCACACAUCUGUACUAAUUUCCAUUGACGUAAUUAAUUACCAUGGUGAUGAACAGCACGCCGACCCAACCCAUCGUCACACACCGCGCGCAAUUAUAAAGCACCAUUAUCUUGUAGGGAGAUGUCACUCAGAAUAGCACAAAAGCCAAAAAUAGCAUAAGCUGUUGGAGCAUGCCACAGGAUGGAGAGACUGUAUUCACUGGAAAAUGCUGAAACACCUAAAACGGUGCACAGACAGACAGAUUAGGGCUACAACUCACUAUUAUUUUCAUUAUCAAGGGUAAGGCAGUCGAUUCUGCAGAAUGAUAGUUGAUUAUUUAUUCUCAUUCCCAGGUCAUUAAAAAUUGUCGGUAUUCACCUUAAAGUUCUAUCAGUAAAGUGUUAGUAUUUGAAAGCCUGGGGAUGAGAUUCAACAAUCAACUGUCUUCUCCAAAAAAAUGCCCUUCCUACCUUUUAAUCUAUUAUAAUUUAAAUUAAUCAGUUCAUCAUUUGGUCUAUAAAACAUAAGAAAAUAGUGACAAUACCCUAGUUUCUCAACGCUGACAUAUUUAGAUAUUUUGUUUUGCCAGCACUCAAAGAUGAAAUCUCAGUAUUUGAAAGGCCAAAAAAAGCAUUUUUGCCACAUUUGUAAAUGAUAUAAUAAUAAUGAUUACUUUAUUGAUGAAUUGAUUAUCAGAUGUGGUGAUUAUUUUAUUAAUUCUAUUUAACGACUAGUGGAAUAAUCAUUGCAGCUCCGACAGAUGCAAACGUCAUCGAAUGCUGCUGUGUGGAGAUCAGUACUCCCCCAUGGGUGACCCUGAAAGAGCAGAUCCAGUGUGGGUGUGAGCCACUGUAAAAGGGUUGGAUUUUCCCCUGAGAAUUCAGAAAUCCUUUAGCAUGCUGGUGCACAAACACACUUCCCUCAACUCAAGAAACGUCCUUUAAAUUUUAUGUGUUCCUGCGCGCAAGUUCUCACGUAAAAAAAAAAAAAGAAGAGCUUUUUAAAUCUCUCAACCCCUCGUGUCUCUCUGAAAGACAGUGAAUGUACAUACUGUACGAGUAUUCCCAUUAGGUUGGAGAGAGUUUUCAAAGUGUCGGCUACAUAGCAGCAGAUGAAUAAUGCAGAGGAAAUAAAAGGCUUUUUUUUCUGCGCAGCAGCUACAUGAGCUAUGAUACCUCAGAUGUAAAGUUGUAAACUGAUGUUAACCUCAAAACGUCUGCCUGGCUUUGCAUCUCUGCUGUGUGACUUUUGAGUGACUCCUGGCAUCCACAGCGAUGAUAUGUAGUGUUUGUUAUGAGUUAUUCAGAGCAGUCAUUUUACCUAAUUGAGGCAAAUAAAAGCCUGCAGAGUAUAGGAGCGCAAGUGAAGCAGGCUGUGUGGCACAUCCAUUCACUGUUGUCAGAAAUUAAUGUAUUUCACAUUAAAGCGAGAUAUAUUUAAUUAAGGGUUAAUUUCAUAUAUAUAUCGUCCAUUUGAUAUCCUGUCAUAUUUUUCUAUUUCAGUUCCUCCCACCUCCUCCCCCUUUAACUUCCUCUCAUUUGCUCUUCUUUGACUUACUCCCGAAGCCAUUUUUUCCUCUCUCAUUGCUGUACAACCACCCUCCCUGCCCCCCGGAACAGCACAUGCAAGUCAGGGUUUUUAAUGUAUAAAUUCAGCUGGUGCGUUAUCAUUUCCAUUCACGUCCUUUCCUAAUCCCUGCCUCUCUCUGUCUUUGUCAGCAGAAUAUAGAGUUGGGCCCUCGGUGUGUAAUAAGCACAGUUCACAUACAACCACAUGUCAGAAAAGAAAAAAGGAGAGCGAGAGAGGAAAAAAAAAAGAUGACAGAGGAUUCAAAAUGACUCGAAGAUCGAGCGGUAAAUCAUGAAUAACUAAUAGCAUGUUCAUAUUCUGGCGGUUCGCUCGCGGCGUCAUCAAUCACGAACCCUGUCUUUUCACUCCGCUGUGGCUUCAUUAGGCUGAUAAUGGACUCUGGGCUGUGUGUCAACCAGGCAAUAUCUGCUUCUAUUCAAACUGUGAUUAAAUAACCUCUCUGAGCAGCCAAACUCACUCUGAAGUGGCUUUGCCCCGUAUAAUCUAGCUGAUAAAUGCCUUUCAUUGCAACUUGUGGGUUUACUGUACAAUACUGCAGUUUUCUCAGACAUGACUUCGGAUUUAUUGCAAAAAACAGUGAUUGUUAAUUCACACAAUUUAAUUACGCUAUAUACAAAUGAUAUUUUAAUAUGUAUAGACAGUGUCAGACUCAUAUCAAUCACUUUUUAAGACCAAUUGUUGGUAUCUCAUUUUGCAAUAAAACGUAAAAGUACCUUUGCUAUGUCACGGACGUAAAAUAUUGAUAAAUGUAUUAAAUCUGUUACCGGCAGACAGAGCUGUUACAUAAUCUACCAAUCUUUCUGUCUCCUCCCAUAACCCUGCAACAAAUCACAACCCUAUACUCUUUCAGGUGAUAAGCUGAUUAGUGAGACAACAACCUCCUGCCACAGACUGACACACAGCGGGAGGUCUGAUGAAGCUGAGCCAAACCCUCCGCAGUUUGAUUCUGUUGUCAGUCUGAGGAUUCUGCUGAAGAUUAAACUACUACGACUUUCCCAAAAUCAUUUUAAUGCUGACAUCAGAUUCAUCCCUGGACAUGACGAGAAUAAAGCACUUCUUUUUCCUAGUAAGCAAAUGUCUGUGUUUUUGUAGCUUAAACUGACGGCUGGUUGUAUGCUGCUUGUGCGUGGGGACCGGUGUAAUGGACCACAGAGGUCACGAUUUGGUGCAUACCUCGGUACUCAGGUCACGGUGCGGCUGUGACUCAGAAGUGAGAGUCCAGAAAUCCGAAGGUCACUGGUUUGAGUCCCCUCGAAUUGCUGCUGCUGAGCAGGUUGGCACCUCGCAUGGCAGCCUCUGCCAUCAGGGAAUGAAUGUGCAUGUGUGAAUGUGAAAAGUGUCGUUUUUGAGGUCAGCAGACUGGAAAAGCAUAUAGAACUGCAUGGUUAAGGUCAGGUCUCUUGUCAUUUAUUAUCACUGGACAAAAAUAUACAUUAUAGUUUGUUCCACCAAGUGUCAACCUACUUCCACCAUAUACAGUUGUUACAGCGUGUAGUGUGUUCAAUGCAGGGUUGAUACAAAAUCCGAAUUGUCUGGAUAAUGUCUUUGGCCCUCUUUCUUUUCAUAUGUGGAGGCAGCUUUAAAAGAACAGCAAGGAAAAAUUAUUAGACGGAUGUAGUAUCAGAGCAGCAGCAGAGGAGUCACGGCAUCUGUGUGAAUGGAAAAGCCGUAGGCAUGGCUCAGGGGUGUGUCGGUCUGAUGGUGUUCACAGUCUGAUAAGUAGACAGAUCCUGAACAUAGGACCAAACAACAGUGGCACAGCAACUGCUCAUGUCUUCAGCAACUUAUAUGAGGAGAAAAAGCAAUGCAUCACUCAAGUCAUCCUGUCUGUCCUACCAACUCUUUGUCACAUUUCUGCCCAAAAAACAACGUCCGUACCUGGUCGCAAAAAAAUUUAACUCACCAUGUCUUUGUCGCCUUCCACUGUUAUUGUAAUUACUACUGUCUGUUAUUGUAGCUACUGUCUCCAGCAGCUUGUAAUAGCUUUAAGCCGGCGCUGCUUGGUUCAGUGUGAACAAACCAGGGCCGUGUAAAGUCAAGCCUUGGUUGCGGCGAAAAUGCAGAGGAAAAAGGUCUUUUUAUAAUCUUGUUUUAUUCUGUCUUAUUCUUCUUAUUCUUCUGAUGUCUAAUGGUGGCUGGUUAAACAGCUUUUGACAACUCUGAGUGUGGAUCAGAACGAUUAUACUGUCACCCACUGACAUUAGGCUCUCACCAUAGCGUGAAAUAUAUAUUCUGCAAAUAACUGCAUGUAUCAAAUCCUGUCAUUUCUGGAUGAAUAAAUGUACCGUUACUCCCUAUGUACACAUUUUAUACAUCAUAAUGACAUGUUAAGUCAACCACAUACAUUCUAUCAUUUGAGGUAAAUAAACGCUAACCUGAUCUAGA
Long non-coding RNA from Acanthopagrus latus (yellowfin seabream), 6480 nucleotides. RefSeq lists it as uncharacterized. The record is from RefSeq and is a predicted model, not a curated record. The transcript has 7 exons. Lineage: Eukaryota; Metazoa; Chordata; Actinopteri; Spariformes; Sparidae.